AUUGAACGCUGGCGGCAGGCCUAACACAUGCAAGUCGAGCGAGCGGCGGACGGGUGAGUAAUGUAUGGGGAUCUGACUGAUGGCGGGGGAUAACUACUGGGAACGGUAGCUAAUACCGCCUACCCUCAGAUGAACCCAUCUGGGAUUGGCUAGUAGGUGGGGUAACGGCUAACCUAGGCGACGAUCCCUAGCGGGUCUGAGAGGAUGAGCGGCAACACUGGAACUGAGACACGGCCCAGACUCCUACGGGAGGAAGCAGUGGGGAAUAUUGCACAAUGGGCGCAAGCCGGAUGCAGCCAUGCCGCGUGUAUGAAGAAGGCCUUCGGGUUGUAAAGUACUUUCAGUGGGGAGGCGUUACCGACAGAAGAAGCACCGGCUAACUCCGUGCCAGCAGCCGCGGUAAUAC
This 406-nucleotide ribosomal RNA is filed under the name uncultured bacterium. RNAcentral's name for it is "partial 16S ribosomal RNA". It matches the Rfam family "Bacterial small subunit ribosomal RNA", at positions 30 to 526 of the family's 1533-position model. The record is from RNAcentral.